This 497-nucleotide ribosomal RNA is filed under the name uncultured bacterium. Its description in RNAcentral is "partial 16S ribosomal RNA". It matches the Rfam family "Bacterial small subunit ribosomal RNA", at positions 28 to 507 of the family's 1533-position model. The record is from RNAcentral.
GAUGAACGCUGGCGGCGUGCCUAAUACAUGCAAGUCGAGCGAACAGACGAGGAGCUUGCUCCUCUGACGUUAGCGGCGGACGGGUGAGUAACACGUGGAUAACCUACCUAUAAGACUGGGAUAACUUCGGGAAACCGGAGCUAAUACCGGAUAAUAUAUUGAACCGCAUGGUUCAAUAGUGAAAGACGGUUUUGCUGUCACUUAUAGAUGGAUCCGCGCCGUAUUAGCUAGUUGGUAAGGUAACGGCUUACCAAGGCAACGAUGCGUAGCCGACCUGAGAGGGGGAUAGGCCACACUGGAACUGAGACACGGUCCAGACUCCUAAGGGAGGCAGCAGUAGGGAAUCUUCCGCAAUGGGCGAAAGCUUGACGGAGCAACGCCGCGUGAGUGAUGAAGGUCUUCGGAUCGUAAAACUCUGUUAUUAGGGAAGAACAAAUGUGUAAGUAACUAUGCACGUCUUGACGGUACCUAAUCAGAAAGCCACGGCUAACUACGUG